GUAGGUGAACCUGCGGAAGGAUCAUUAUAGAAUUAUAAGCGAGGGUUGUCGCUGGCCUUUCGGGGCAUGUGCACGCCCGAGCUCUUAAAUCCACAACACACCUGUGAACCCACCGUAGGCCUUCGGGCUUAUGCAUUUAUACUCUGUAUGUGUCAUAGAAUGUCAUGUUGCAUUAAAAACGCAAUUAAAUACAACUUUCAACAACGGAUCUCUUGGCUCUCGCAUCGAUGAAGAACGCAGCAUCUGACUG
Molecule: unclassified non-coding RNA, 250 nt
Filed under: plant metagenome
Description: partial contains small subunit ribosomal RNA, internal transcribed spacer 1, and 5.8S ribosomal RNA
Rfam family: 5.8S ribosomal RNA (bases 193-250)
Source: RNAcentral